Molecule: long non-coding RNA, 437 nt
Organism: Podarcis raffonei (Aeolian wall lizard)
Lineage: Eukaryota; Metazoa; Chordata; Lepidosauria; Squamata; Lacertidae
Exons: 3
Source: RefSeq, a predicted model, not a curated record
GCUGGCUGUGGGCCAAUAAACUGAAGCGGAAUCCUGAAAAGACAGGUGUAUUGUGUGUCUUAAAUUCUCAUGUACAGGAGGUGGGGAGAUAGAUGUCCUGGUUGGAAUCCCACUCCUCUGGAAGGAGCAGGUGUGCAGUUUGGGGGUGCACCUGGAUUCAACAUUGUCAUGAGGUUCCCAGAAAACCGUUCUACAGAUCCAGAGAAGCUCAAGGACAAUGCUGAAGACAACCUCAGGCAGCUCAGUUAAGGAAGUUGAUAGGCAGUUCACAAGCAGCAUCCCCAGUGUGUCUCUAAGGUCCAAGAAUUCUAUCAGCAUGACAAGUUGCUGUUCCUCUACAUGACAUGUCUGGAGGAGAAAGAACAACUGGGAAUUGCCAGGCUCAAGAAAUACCAGCCAGCCAAUCUAUUAAUCUAAAUAAACAAUGGAAAAUGUAA